RNAcentral lists this long non-coding RNA (1180 nucleotides) under Chinchilla lanigera (long-tailed chinchilla). Its description in RNAcentral is "lncRNA (ENSCLAG00000023939.1)". The record is from RNAcentral. Lineage: Eukaryota; Metazoa; Chordata; Mammalia; Rodentia; Chinchillidae.
UGCAGGGGGUGCCUCGGGAAGGUGAAGGACGGAGGUCACGGACUGGCCUGGCGGGAGGCUGCGGGGUCAGGGACAGACGCGCGUGUGCCUCCACCCGCCGCCGCUUGCUCCUCUCUCUCUUCUUUGCAGUCUCAGUUCCUUUGCCUGAUAUCCUUGGAAACCGCGCGAGAAGGAAGCAAAACAGUCCCAUUAAAUCGUCUCUCUCCUGUUUCCCUUCCACCUUAAAGUUCUCCCGUUUGCUCGCCUCUUCCUCCGACCCCAGCCAGGAAAACUGAGAAGAUGACAAGUCCCUUCAGACAACCCCAUAUUCCCAAGUGCAUUCUGGACAGAGGGAGGAUUUUGGAAAAAUCCAUGGAGUAUCUAAUCACAUGCCUUGAAAUGAGAAACUCUUCACUCCACGGGAUGCUUUGGCUCUAGCAACUAUCUUGCAACAUCCAGAGAUGAGCUGAGAGUAUGCUGCAUGCUGAUUUUGAAUGAGGUGAAGAUGUCAUCUGUCCUUUUAGCCACUUUUACUUGUGUGGUCUAUUUUUGCAGUUGUGAGCACUGUGAGACAUACACGUUAAAGACAACAGACCAAAUGUAAGGCAUCGAGCAACUUCAGUUACAGCAGCAUUAACUGCUGUUCACAGGUUGCCAGGAGAAAUGUGAAAGCUGUAAAGGCUGGAGAGGACUGGAGAGAGACAACAGUGCUGCUCGUUGUGUGUGUUUUGCUUUGGUUUAGCGACAGUGUUUCUUUUGUUUUCCAGUACCGGGAAUAGAACUCACGACCUCGCGCUUGCCAAGCAGGCGCUGUGCUGCUGAGCUAAAUCCCCAGCCCCACCGAUAGUGUUUCUUAUAAGUACCUAUGGAUUUAAUCUCAUUCAAAUGCAAUUUGUGUGCACGACAAAUGUCAAUGUAGUUUCCUGAAUGAAAGCAGAAUUCAAGAAGACUGUCCCUCAGUGAACAGGGAUAAUGCUGGUGGUGGUCUCUGUUCCAUCUUCGCUGAUUUUAUCUAUUUCAUAUAUGAGCACUUUAUUUGGACCCUUAAAGUAGUGAUCAGGGGCAGCAGUGUCACGUUGCUUGCUCUCCAAAGCUGCCCAGUGACCAGCGACUGGCUUAGGAACACCUGAUCCAGCCAUGGUUUUAUGCAACCUCUGGAAAAUUGCAGUUCCUUUAAAAACACCAAUAAUUUUACCUUCCC